RNAcentral lists this ribosomal RNA (626 nucleotides) under uncultured bacterium. RNAcentral's name for it is "bacterial SSU rRNA". It matches the Rfam family "Bacterial small subunit ribosomal RNA", at positions 56 to 699 of the family's 1533-position model. The record is from RNAcentral.
UGCAGUCGAGCGGUAACAGAUCUAGCUUGCUAGAUGCUGACGAGCGGCGGACGGGUGAGUAACGCGUAGGAAACUGCCGAGUAGUGGGGGAUAGCCCAGAGAAAUUUGGAUUAAUACCGCAUACGCCCUACGGGGGAAAGGAGGGGAUCUUCGGACCUUUCGCUAUUCGAUGUGCCUGCGUGAGAUUAGCUUGUUGGUGAGGUAAAGGCUCACCAAGGCGACGAUCUCUAGCUGGUUUGAGAGGAUGAUCAGCCACACUGGGACUGAGACACGGCCCAGACUCCUACGGGAGGCAGCAGUGGGGAAUAUUGCACAAUGGGCGCAAGCCUGAUCCAGCCAUGCCGCGUGAGUGAAGAAGGCCUUCGGGUUGUAAAGCUCUUUCAGACGUGAAGAUGAUGACGGUAACGUCAGAAGAAGCCCCGGCUAACUUCGUGCCAGCAGCCGCGGUAAUACGAAGGGGGCAAGCGUUGUUCGGAAUUACUGGGCGUAAAGCGCGCGUAGGCGGCGUCGUCAGUCAGAGGUGAAAUCCCAGGGCUCAACCUUGGAAUUGCCUUUGAUACUGCGAUGCUUGAGUUCGAGAGAGGGUGGCGGAAUACCCAGUGUAGAGGUGAAAUUCGUAGAUAUUG